RNAcentral lists this ribosomal RNA (496 nucleotides) under uncultured bacterium. Its description in RNAcentral is "partial 16S ribosomal RNA". It matches the Rfam family "Bacterial small subunit ribosomal RNA", at positions 29 to 507 of the family's 1533-position model. The record is from RNAcentral.
AUGAACGCUGGCGGCGUGCCUAAUACAUGCAAGUCGAGCGAACAGACGAGGAGCUUGCUCCUCUGACGUUAGCGGCGGACGGGUGAGUAACACGUGGAUAACCUACCUAUAAGACUGGGAUAACUUCGGGAAACCGGAGCUAAUACCGGAUAAUAUAUUGAACCGCAUGGUUCAAUAGUGAAAGUCGGUUUUGCUGUCACUUAUAGAUGGAUCCGCGCCGCAUUAGCUAGUUGGUAAGGUAACGGCUUACCAAGGCAACGAUGCGUAGCCGACCUGAGAGGGUGAUCGGCCACACUGGAACUUAGACACCGUCCAGACUCCUACGGGAGGCAGCAGUAGGGAAUCUUCCGCAAUGGGCGAAAGCUUGACGGAGCAACGCCGCGUGAGUGAUGAAGGUCUUCGGAUCGUAAAACUCUGUUAUUAGGGAAGAACAAAUGUGUAAGUAACUAUGCACGUCUUGACGGUACCUAAUCAGAAAGCCACGGCUAACUACGUG